RNAcentral lists this ribosomal RNA (301 nucleotides) under uncultured bacterium. Its description in RNAcentral is "partial 16S ribosomal RNA". It matches the Rfam family "Bacterial small subunit ribosomal RNA", at positions 509 to 808 of the family's 1533-position model. The record is from RNAcentral.
CAGCAGCCGCGGUAAUACGAAGGGGGCAAGCGUUGUUCGGAAUUACUGGGCGUAAAGGGCGCGUAGGCGGCCUAUCAAGUCAGGCGUGAAAUUCCCGGGCUCAACCUGGGGGCUGCGUUUGAUACUGAUGAGCUUGAAUGCGGGAGAGGAUAGUGGAAUUCCCAGUGUAGAGGUGAAAUUCGUAGAUAUUGGGAAGAACACCGGUGGCGAAGGCGGCUUUCUGGCCCGUGAUUGACGCUGAGGCGCGAAAGCGUGGGGAGCAAACAGGAUUAGAUACCCGUGUAGUCCCUGUCUCUUAACA